RNAcentral lists this long non-coding RNA (624 nucleotides) under Pan troglodytes (chimpanzee). RNAcentral's name for it is "long non-coding RNA NONPTRT017116". The record is from RNAcentral. Lineage: Eukaryota; Metazoa; Chordata; Mammalia; Primates; Hominidae.
GGAGGUUGUAGGAUGUUAGUGCUUCAGAGGAAAACAACAACGAGCUUUUCUCUCCUCUCUGGGGAUCCUGGUCAGCUUCACAUCGGUGGCCCAGAAAUCAGUCUCAGCCCCUCCCAGUAUGGACCGCUCCUUGACAGCCGCCCUCUCUCCUAUAAAGGCAGAUGCAAGCUACGUUUGUGUGGGAUCUAUGAGACAAUAUCAAACUGCCUAACAUACGUGGAGUUGGAGUUCCAGAAAAAUAAGAAGAAAAGGGAAAAAACAUUAUUUGAAAAACAAUUCCUGAAAUUUCCUAAAUUUAAUGAAACCAUAAACCAACAGAUUAAAAAACCUCAACAAACUCCAAGCAGAAAAAAUAUAAAGAAAAUGGCACCGAUGUACAUGUUCAUCAGAUUUCUGAAAACCAGUGAUAAAGACAAAGUCCUAAAGCAACCAGAAUUGAGGGAAGGGCGGAGCAACAUUAUGUAUAGAAGAACAAAGGGGAUGACACAGCACAAAGGCCCUUGCCAGAUGUGAGCCCCUUGAUAUUGGAUUUCCCAGUCUUCAGAACUGUAAGAAAUGAAUUUAUUUUCUUUGUAAAUUACCCAAUCUGUGGUAUUCUGUUUAGCAACACAAAGCAAACUAAGA